GAAAUGCGAUAAGUAAUGUGAAUUGCAUAAUUCAGUGAAUCAUCGAAUCUUUGAACGCACAUUGCGCCCGCCAGCACUCUGGCGGGCAUGCCUGUUCGAGCGUCAUUUCAACCCUCAGAACCCCUUGCGGGAUCUGGCGUUGGGGAUUGGCAUCCAGCCAGCCCCGAAAUCUAGUGGCGGUCCCUCCGCGACCGCCCCUGUGCAGUAGCGAUACCUCGCAGCGGGACAGCGGUCUGACCACGCCGUAAAACCCCCAACUUCUCAAGGUUGACCUCGAAUCAGGUAGGAAUACCCGCUGAACUUAAGC
This 307-nucleotide unclassified non-coding RNA is filed under the name plant metagenome. Its description in RNAcentral is "partial contains 5.8S ribosomal RNA, internal transcribed spacer 2, and large subunit ribosomal RNA". The stretch from base 1 to 105 matches the Rfam family "5.8S ribosomal RNA", at positions 50 to 154 of the family's 154-position model. The record is from RNAcentral.